CGGGUGAGUAAUGUAUGGGGAUCUGUCUGAUGGCGGGGGAUAACUACUGGAAACGGUAGCUAAUACCGCAUAAUGUCUGCGGACCAAAGCGGGGGACCUCCGGGCCUCGCGCCAUCAGAUGAACCCAUAUGGGAUUAGCUUGUAGGUAAGGUAACGGCUUACCUAGGCGACGAUCCCUAGCUGGUCUGAGAGGAUGAUCAGCCACACUGGGACUGAGACACGGCCCAG
RNAcentral lists this ribosomal RNA (228 nucleotides) under uncultured bacterium. RNAcentral describes it as "partial 16S ribosomal RNA". It matches the Rfam family "Bacterial small subunit ribosomal RNA", at positions 103 to 334 of the family's 1533-position model. The record is from RNAcentral.